Molecule: ribosomal RNA, 253 nt
Filed under: uncultured bacterium
Lineage: Bacteria
Description: partial 16S ribosomal RNA
Rfam family: Bacterial small subunit ribosomal RNA
Source: RNAcentral
GACGAACCGUGCGAACGUUGUUCGGAAUCACUGGGCUUAAAGGGUGCGUAGGCGGCCCGGUAAGUCAGUGGUGAAAUCUCCUUGCUUAACAAGGAAACUGCCAUUGAUACUGCUGGGCUUGAGUACAGAUGCUGCGGGCGGAAUAUGACAUGUAGUGGUGAAAUACAUAGAGAUGUCAUAGAACACCGAUUGCGAAGGCAGCUCACAAAACUGUAACUGACGCUGAGGCACGAAAGUGCGGGGAUCAAACAGG